RNAcentral lists this ribosomal RNA (606 nucleotides) under Leifsonia sp. Its description in RNAcentral is "bacterial SSU rRNA". It matches the Rfam family "Bacterial small subunit ribosomal RNA", at positions 56 to 673 of the family's 1533-position model. The record is from RNAcentral. Lineage: Bacteria; Bacillati; Actinomycetota; Actinomycetes; Micrococcales; Microbacteriaceae.
UGCAAGUCGAACGAUGAACCAGGAGCUUGCUCUUGGGGAUUAGUGGCGAACGGGUGAGUAACACGUGAGUAACCUGCCCUUGACUCUGGGAUAACCUCCGGAAACGGAAGCUAAUACCGGAUACGAACUGCGAAGGCAUCUUCAGCAGUUGGAAAGAACUUCGGUCAAGGAUGGACUCGCGGCCUAUCAGGUAGUUGGUGAGGUAAAGGCUCACCAAGCCUACGACGGGUAGCCGGCCUGAGAGGGUGACCGGCCACACUGGGACUGAGACACGGCCCAGACUCCUACGGGAGGCAGCAGUGGGGAAUAUUGCACAAUGGGCGCAAGCCUGAUGCAGCAACGCCGCGUGAGGGAUGACGGCCUUCGGGUUGUAAACCUCUUUUAGUAGGGAAGAAGCGAAAGUGACGGUACCUGCAGAAAAAGCACCGGCUAACUACGUGCCAGCAGCCGCGGUAAUACGUAGGGUGCGAGCGUUGUCCGGAAUUAUUGGGCGUAAAGAGCUCGUAGGCGGUCUGUCGCGUCUGCUGUGAAAACCCGAGGCUCAACCUCGGGCCUGCAGUGGGUACGGGCAGACUAGAGUGCGGUAGGGGAGAAUGGAAUUCCUGG